Molecule: ribosomal RNA, 611 nt
Filed under: uncultured Methanomicrobiales archaeon
Lineage: Archaea; Methanobacteriati; Methanobacteriota; Methanomicrobia; Methanomicrobiales
Description: bacterial SSU rRNA
Rfam family: Archaeal small subunit ribosomal RNA
Source: RNAcentral
GGAAACUGGGGAUAUACCCCAUAGACCAGGAUGCUGGAAUGCCUCCUGGUUCAAAGGUCCGCCGCCUGAGGAUGGGUCUGCGGCCGAUUAGGUUGUUGUUGGGGUAACGGCCCAACAAGCCUUUGAUCGGUACAGGUUGUGAGAGCAAGAGCCCGGAGAUGGAUUCUGAGACACGAAUCCAGGCCCUACGGGGCGCAGCAGGCGCGAAAACUUUACAAUGCGAGAAAUCGUGAUAAGGGAACCCCGAGUGCCCGUAAAUUCGGGCUGUCCGCCAGUGCAAAUAGCUGGUGAAGAAAGGGCCGGGCAAGACCGGUGCCAGCCGCCGCGGUAAUACCGGCGGCUCGAGUGGUGGCCACUAUUACUGGGCUUAAAGCGUCCGUAGCUUGAUUGUUAAGUCUCUUGGGAAAUCCACCGGCUCAACCGAUGGGCGUUCAGGAGAAACCGGCAAUCUAGGGACCGGGAGAGGUGAGAGGUACUCCAGGGGUAGGAGUGAAAUCCUGUAAUCCUUGGGGGACCACCUGUGGCGAAGGCGUCUCACUAGAACGGCUCCGACAGUGAGGGACGAAAGCUGGGGGAGCAAACCGGAUUAGAUACCCGGGUAGUCCCAGCUG